ACUGGCCAGCGAAAUCUCUGGGCUGCCGGUGGUGACCUCGGAGUUUCGUGCCUCGGGUGUCUGGGGGCUGGAGAGAUGGCUCAGAGGUUAAGAGCAUGGACUGCUCUUCCAGAGGUCCUGAGUUCAAUUCCCAGCAACCACGUGGUGGCUCACAACCAUCUGUAAAGAGAUCUGAUACCCUCUUCUGGUAUGUCUGAAGACAGCUACAGUGUACUUGUAUAUGAUAAAUAAAUAAAUCUUUUAAAAAAAAUAAAA
Molecule: long non-coding RNA, 255 nt
Filed under: Rattus norvegicus (Norway rat)
Lineage: Eukaryota; Metazoa; Chordata; Mammalia; Rodentia; Muridae
Description: long non-coding RNA NONRATT025580
Source: RNAcentral